RNAcentral lists this transfer RNA (72 nucleotides) under Rosellinia necatrix. It matches the Rfam family "tRNA". From Rfam's summary of the family: Transfer RNA (tRNA) molecules are approximately 80 nucleotides in length. Their secondary structure includes four short double-helical elements and three loops (D, anti-codon, and T loops). RNAcentral also lists the same sequence under 1 other name. The record is from Rfam by way of RNAcentral. Lineage: Eukaryota; Fungi; Ascomycota; Sordariomycetes; Xylariales; Xylariaceae.
GGGGUAUUAGCAUAAUGGUAGUGCAUAUGACUUUUAAUCAUUACUAUACGAGUUCGAAUCUUGUAUACCCUA